Acanthopagrus latus (yellowfin seabream) is the source of this 639-nucleotide long non-coding RNA. RefSeq lists it as uncharacterized. The record is from RefSeq and is a predicted model, not a curated record. NCBI's taxonomy places the organism in Eukaryota, Metazoa, Chordata, Actinopteri, Spariformes, Sparidae. The transcript is spliced from 5 exons.
UGCGUACCUGCUCAGGAAACCUAAUGAACCGUUUCCAAAUCAUCACGCUCAAUCUUCAAUAAAAUAACUGAACAGAACCUGAAAUCCUGAACUUUUGACUCUAACAGAUCAUCUGUGGUGGGUUAGUUUAUCUGCCCCUCCAACAGUUUGCUCCACAUUAUAUAUUCAUGAGUUGCUGUUCACAGCAGACGUCACCUGGACAGUCGACUCUAGUUGUAAACCACGUUUGACUGCACAAGCUCAGAUGAGCUGAUUUCUUCUUCUGGUCCUGUGUGCAGGUGAACCUCUGGUCCAGCAGCUUCUUGCUGUAGUAGAUCUGCCAGGCGAGCAGCUGCACAGCGAUAACCAUCAGCAGACGUUCAGAGGAAACGCAGCCCUGCACCAUGAGAAGAGGGGCCGACCCCGGGACCAGGAACUUUAAAACCAGCUGCCGUCCAGCUGACGAGGCCUGAAGGACUCGCUGGUGAAAAGGUAGCAGGUGCGUCAGAUCCUGAGAGGGAACUCACCGUCAUGUCUUUUACACCAAAUAACUUCCAUACACAUUAAACACAUUAACAUUCAAACAUGCUUAAAAAAUGUAGAAUGUGUAGAAGAUAACACAGCAGCCUUUCACAAUAAAAUGUAGUUCAGCUGUUUGAA